RNAcentral lists this long non-coding RNA (1803 nucleotides) under Canis lupus familiaris (dog). Its description in RNAcentral is "lncRNA (ENSCAFG00845024799.1)". The record is from RNAcentral. Lineage: Eukaryota; Metazoa; Chordata; Mammalia; Carnivora; Canidae.
UUUUUUUUUUUUUUUUUUUGGCAAUGGGCUGUAAAUAGGUUAUAGGAUGGCCCCCCCAACAGAGGUCCCUAUUCUAAUCCCCAGAAGGUUAUUUAUAUGGCAAAAGGGGCUGUGAAGGUGUGAUGGAAGUUAAGAAUCUCGCUAUGGGGAAAUUAUCCUGGAACACCUGGUUAAACCCAAUGUAAUUACAAAGGCUGUUUGUUACGAGAGCAGGUGAAAGUUCAGAGAGGGCAAACUGAAGUGAUGCAACUUGUGAGCCAACGUAUGCCGGCGACUUCUAGAAGCUGGAGGAAGUCAGGAAUGGAUUCUCCCUGGGAACCUCCAGAAGAACAGCUCUGCCUGCACCUGGUCUAAAUCUAAUUGGUUUUACUCCAUCUCUCCGCUUGGAUGUCUAAUGAAAAUUUCAGGUUCAACACGUAAAAAAACAAAAUCACUGAUUUCUGCCUUCAAAAUGCUUUCUUCUACAACUCAGUUCUCCCAAAGUUGCUCACAAGGCCUCCUUUAUCGGGGAUCCCUGGGUGGCUCAGCGGUCGAGCGUCUGCCUUCAGCCCAAGGCCUGAUCCUGGAGUCCUGGAAUCGAGUCCCACGUCGGGUUCCUUGCAGGGAGCCUGCUUCUACCUCUACCUCUCUGUCUGUAACUCUCAUAAAUAAAUAAAAAAAUAAGGUCUCCUUUAAAAUACGUCCAGAUUUCAAUGCCAUUUUCAUCACCUCAAUCACGACCGCUCUGGCCUAAACCACUAUCCCUGUGGACCCGAUUACCGCAGUAACUUCCUAACUGAGAACACCUUUCACCAACCGACACAGAUUUGUUUUCCACCACCUCCCACUGUAAUGGUCUCCGGGACACAGAAGACGACUCUCUCUCUCAUUUUGUGCCAGGAAUCCCCCUCCCCCACCCCCAUGUGCAACCUCGCAGAUGCUCCAUUUUCUAGAAUAAAUAUUUUAUACCGCCACGUAUACAGCAAUGCAUUUAAGAUGUCUGAAAAUUAGCGGUAGGGGCCUUUCACCAACUAACUAACUAAAGAACUAAAUAAAUAACUAAAUAACAAAGUAACCGAAUAACUAACUGAAUAACUAAAUAACUAAAUGACUAACUGAAUAACUAAGUAAAUAAAUAAUAAUUAAAUAACUGAGUAAAUGACUAAAUAACUGAAUAACUAAAUAACUAACUGAAUAACUGAACUAAAUAAAUAACUGAAUAACUAAAUAACUAGCUAGCUAACUAAAUAAUAACAAACAAAAUAAAUAACUAAAUAACUAAAUAACUAAACUAAAUAAUAACGAACUAAAUAACUAGCUAACGAAUGAACUAAAUAACUAAAUAACUAGCUAACUAAAUAACUAAACGAAAUAACUAGCUCGCUAAAUACCUAAAUAACUAGCUAAAUAACUAAAUAAGUAGCUAACUAAAUACAUAACUCAAUAAGGAAUUAACUAGCUAACUAGCUAACUAAAUAACGAACUAGCUAGCUAACUAGCUAACUAGCCGACUAACUAGCUAACUAGCCGACUAACUAGCUAACUAACUAGCUAACUAACUAGCUGACUAACUAGCUAACUAGCUGCUAGCUAGCUAACCAGCUGCUAACUAGCUAACCAGCUGCUAACGAUCAAACCCAACCAAAGACGACUCCUGCUCCUCCGUGGCCCCGCCCUGGCCGGCGGCCUCGCGGCCCGACACCUCGUCCCCGUCCCCGUCCCCGUCCCCGUCCAGGUGACGCGGCGACAGGUGAGCGCCCACGCGGCUCGGGGCCGGAGGACCGACGCCGCCCUGGAACCUUCCCGGACACUGGGCCGAGGGCC